This 497-nucleotide ribosomal RNA is filed under the name uncultured bacterium. Its description in RNAcentral is "partial 16S ribosomal RNA". It matches the Rfam family "Bacterial small subunit ribosomal RNA", at positions 28 to 507 of the family's 1533-position model. The record is from RNAcentral.
GAUGAACGCUGGCGGCGUGCCUAAUACAUGCAAGUCGAGCGAACAGACCAGGACCUUGCGCCUCUGACGUUAUCGGCGGACGGGUGCGUAACACGUGGAUAACCUACCUAUACGACUGGGAUAAUUUCGCGAAACCGGAUCUAAUACCGGAUAAUAUAUUGACCCGCAUGGUUCCAUAGUGAAAUAAGGUUUUGCUGUCACUUAUAGAUGGCUCCGGGCCGCAUUAGCUAGUUGGUAAGGAAACGGCUUAGCAACGCAACGACGCGGAGACGGCCCGAAAGGGUGAACGGCCACACUGGAACAGAGGCACGGUCCAGACUCCGACGGGAGGCAGCAGUAGGGAAUCUUCCGCAAUGGGCGAAUGCCUGACAGAGCAACGCCGCGUGAGGCAUGAAGGUCUUCGGAUCGUAAAACUCUGUUAUUAGGGAAGAACAAAUGUGUAAGUAACCAGGCACGUCUUGACGGUACCGGAACAGAAAGCCACGGCUAACUACGUG